UUCAGAGACAACAUCCUGCAUCGCUCGAGCCGCGUCAGCCACCUGGGGAAACGCCGCGGCCGCCGCCAUCUCUGUUCUUGUCGCCUUCCUUGCGCGCGGGUGCCUCGGGGGUGAUGAAGCACCGGAACAGGCUCGCGAAGAUGCGCAGCUUGAUCUGCCCGCGCCGCGGCAGGGUCCGCCUCGCCGCCUCCUGCCGCUCCAUCGCCACCGCGGGUGGCUUCUUGCUCAGGAAGGCACGGGAAUCAAGGGACUGAAGAGCCGUCUGCUGAGUGUGUUGUGUCUGAUGUCUGAUGUCAGAGUGAGUGACGGCAGGAGGCGAAGGCUUGCUCACUUUUAUAGCCGCAGAGCAGAUGAGAUGCUGGGGACAUGCGGCGAUGGGGGAGAGUGUGUGUGACAAACUUCCUUGGGGAGCAAGGAGCUCGUCUCUCAGGUUUGAAAAGGUCCCAGAAUGUAUUGUACCCCCAUCUUCUAUUCCAUUCACACAGGGAAAGAAAGUCCUGGCCACCACCGUGGACCAAUUAUCUGUUAAAACACAUCCUAAUGCCUAAGGCUUAUUAUUGUAUGAAGCCGAUGAUCUGACAUUGACCUGAA
RNAcentral lists this unclassified non-coding RNA (591 nucleotides) under Zea mays. Its description in RNAcentral is "misc RNA Zm00001eb039520". The record is from RNAcentral. Lineage: Eukaryota; Viridiplantae; Streptophyta; Magnoliopsida; Poales; Poaceae.